ACUCAAAGGAAUAGACGGGGGCCCGCACAAGCAGCGGAGCAUGUGGCUUAAUUCGAUGCAACGCGAAGAACCUUACCUAGGCUUGACAUGCACGGAAAUCCUCCAGAGAUGGGGGGUCCUUUUAGGGUCGUGCACAGGUGGUGCAUGGCUGUCGUCAGCUCGUGUCGUGAGAUGUUGGGUUAAGUCCCGCAACGAGCGCAACCCUCGUCCUAUGUUGCCAGCACGUGAUGGUGGGGACUCAUAGGAGACUGCCGGGGUCAACUCGGAGGAAGGUGGGGAUGACGUCAAGUCAUCAUGCCCCUUAUGUCUAGGGCUGCACACAUGCUACAAUGGCCGGUACAAAGGGCUGCGAUGCCGUGAGGUGGAGCGAAUCCCAGAAAGCCGGUCUCAGUUCGGAUCGGGGUCUGCAACUCGACCCCGUGAAGUCGGAGUUGCUAGUAAUCGCAGAUCAGCAAUGCUGCGGUGAAUACGUUCCCGGGCCUUGUACACACCGCCCGU
Molecule: ribosomal RNA, 498 nt
Filed under: uncultured bacterium
Lineage: Bacteria
Description: partial 16S ribosomal RNA
Rfam family: Bacterial small subunit ribosomal RNA
Source: RNAcentral